Molecule: long non-coding RNA, 1395 nt
Organism: Trifolium pratense (red clover)
Lineage: Eukaryota; Viridiplantae; Streptophyta; Magnoliopsida; Fabales; Fabaceae
Exons: 2
Source: RefSeq, a predicted model, not a curated record
UAUUAACUUUUGCCACAGAAAACACGAAGGGGCAAAACUAAACCCUAGUAGCUGUUUCUGUUUCCAAUUUUGUUCGGCUAUGGCGUCUGAAGGUCGAAAAGGCGGUAUUUCUCUACCUGACUGACAGACUAUCCAAUUCCAAUUUCUGGAUCAACAACAUAUCACGCUCCUCCGUCGUCUCCUAUAACAAGAAAGCCGCCUCCGACUCCUCCCAAAUCUCCACCGGUAAAGCUGCUUGGAUUACCGGAACCACAUUCCUUGUCCUCGUUGUUCCUCUCAUCAUCGAGAUGGACCGUGAACAGCAGCUCAACGAUCUUGAACUUCAGCAGGCUAGUAUCCUCGGUACUCCUCCCAACAAGUGAUAAUAGAUUUAUUUUUGUAUGCGGAGAUUUAUUGUUCAUUGAUUGAUAACUGUAUUGUUCUGUUUCUAGGGUUUCUCAUUGCAAUAAUUCUAUCAUCUGUUAUUAUUUUGAAAAUGGAUAAGAUUUAUAUUAUUGGUUAAACCAGUUUUAAGCCUUACAGAGCAUCAUAUUUCAUCUUCUACUGUUCUUCUGCACUGCACAUGGCAUCAUCUUCUGAGACUGCUACCUGUUAACUUGCUUUAAACCUAGCGUGUAAGAACUUCAAUUUUCAAUUUCGCUCCAACAACCUUGGUGUUCAACAAAAAACAAGGCAGGAAACUUCAGUUUUUUAUGCAGCAGCAGCAGCAAUGAGGAAUGCUUUGGAUUUGUUCACAACACCAGGGGAGUAAAACUAAUUAAACUUCCAGUUAUAUAUAGAUAUUACUAUGUUAUGAAUACUAAAAGCUUAAUUUUUAUUGGAAUUAUUUGUUAUUUGUUAUUUUAGUUUACUGUCAUGCAUUCCCUGAUGGAAUAAUGAUUUUAAAUUAUUUCAGUGCAAAAAUACAAUAUGUGAACGGGAUUUUCCAAGUACAUCUCAUUUUUAGUUUUCUUUUUGUCAUUUAUUUGUUUCUUUCAUUUAUCUCCCUACUACCACACUCAUACCUCUCUUGGUUAGGGUAUUCAAUUUUGAGUUGACUGAAGAGGAUAAUCCACAACAUCAUCGGUUAACAAUAUAUCAAAAUGUGGAAAGUACUUGCAUCAAGUUUGAUGGAUUUGGAUGUGAGCACUUACAUAAUAGCAAUGAUCUUUUUAGAAUUUAUUGGUUUAAUUCCUUGUAAUUGCAACUGUAGUAUUCUAAACUAGAUUGGUUAUGACAGGGCUGACAAAGUUUCAUGUUAUGACAAACUAGUACUGAACAUAACCAAUAGUACUCUGAGAUUAACUUCUGUAGAAUUACAACAGGAGGCCUACUAACAAUCCUCUGUGAUCCCAUAAUUUGGGAGCUGAUUGAUUGAAUUGUACAUGAAAUAACAAAACUUCCUUCCAGAUCAAA